GGAAACAUUCAUCCGCCGAAAGCUGAAGUCCCUCGGCAUUCAAGUAAACGCUUCACCAAGGACGGCCCAACGACAGCUCGUCGGUCGCUACAGACACUACAAUCACUGAGUAACGGCACUCGGGCAUCCCACCCGCACUCGUACGGCAGCCCAGCGCCCGCUUCCUCCCUGCACCCCCAGCGCCCCCACACGAAUCGGCUCAGUAAGCUGACUCAAGCUACGCAACUUUAUUUUUCGCACCAGGCCGCGCUUUGCGCCUCGGCUGGCCGCCGGCACACCCCCACCCCGCGCCGGCCCUGCUCGGACGGCGCUCCACACCGCCGCCGCCAGACGAGGCCCGCCCGCUCCCGCGUCGGCCCGGGCCCGGCCUCCCUCCCCGCCUCGCGCCCCCCCGCGCCACCGAAGGACACCGACGCGGCCCCCCCGAGCCCGCAGCUUUCCCGCCCCGCUCGACACGCGCCCGGGCUCGCGGCCUGCCCCUGCCCCCGCCGCCCGGCGCUUACCGGUGAAGCGGCGGUCGCGCCGCCCCCUCUUCUGCCUCCUUCCCUCCCCCGGGCAGCGGUUGAGAAGCGGCGGCGCCGCCCCCUCCCGGCCCCGCGGCGGCGGAACGGGCGCUUCAAUCUCCCGCGGCGGCCGCGUCGCUGCCCGAUGAUGCGCCCGCUGCCAGCCCCGCGCCGGCCUCGCCCUCUCGCCUUCACCGCCUCUCAUCACUCCCCGCCGCACGCGCGCGCCCGCCCACCCCGCUCCCGCCUUCCCUCAACCCCCCCCCCCGCAGCGCCGUUGGUUUGUCCCAUCGGCCGCACCUGCGCGAGCGCCUGCGGCUCGUACCAUCGGCCGCGUAGGGGAGAGAGAAGGCGGCCGGCGAGCGAUGAGGCGCCGUGCGGGGGAGCGGCGGUCGCGCUACCGGACUCCUCCACCGGGCGGCUUCGGGGAGCCACGCCGCGCCGAGGAGAGCGGCGUCCCCCUGCGAGGGGCAUGGAGGAGUUACCAGGGAAGAAAUAUUUUUUAGCCUUAUGCUUAAACUGAACACAACAUCAGGAACUUCUGGAACCAG
RNAcentral lists this long non-coding RNA (1054 nucleotides) under Phasianus colchicus (ring-necked pheasant). RNAcentral describes it as "lncRNA (ENSPCLG00000003419.1)". Lineage: Eukaryota; Metazoa; Chordata; Aves; Galliformes; Phasianidae. The record is from RNAcentral.